This is a non-coding RNA of Podarcis lilfordi (Lilford's wall lizard), 74 nucleotides long. The record is from the annotation of a GenBank genome assembly. Lineage: Eukaryota; Metazoa; Chordata; Lepidosauria; Squamata; Lacertidae.
AUCUGGGUAGCUCAGCUGGUUAGAGUGUGGUGCUGAUAACACCAAGACUGAAGGUUCGAUCCCCUUAUGGGAGA